This 468-nucleotide ribosomal RNA is filed under the name uncultured bacterium. Its description in RNAcentral is "partial 16S ribosomal RNA". It matches the Rfam family "Bacterial small subunit ribosomal RNA", at positions 28 to 507 of the family's 1533-position model. The record is from RNAcentral.
GACGAACGCUGGCGGCGUGCUUAACACAUGCAAGUCGAACGGAAAGGCCCUGCUUUUGUGGGGUGCUCGAGUGUCGAACGGGUGAGUAACACGUGAGUAACCUGCCCUUGACUUUGGGAUAACUUCAGGAAACUGGGGCUAAUACCGGAUAGGAGCUCCUGCUGCAUGUUGGGGGUUGGAAAGUUUCGGCGGUUGGGGAUGGACUCGCGGCUUAUCAGCUUGUUGGUGGGGUAGUGGCUUACCAAGGCUUUGACGGGUAGCCGGCCUGAGAGGGUGACCGGCCACAUUGGGACUGAGAUACGGCCCAGAGUCCUACGGGAGGCAGCAGUGGGGAAUAUUGCACAAUGGGCGGAAGCCUGAUGCAGCAACGCCGCGUGCGGGAUGACGGCCUUCGGGUUGUAAACCGCUUUCGCCUGUGACGAAGCGUGAGUGACGGUAAUGGGUAAAGAAGCACAGGCUAACUACGUG